GCCCGCGCAUUGUGCGCGCUGACUCGCUGGGCGGGGUGUCCGCCGGCAUGGCUUGGGCUCCGGCGGUUCCCGAGGGCCGACACUCCCGGAGUGGAGCUGGCUACACCGAGGCCCAAGACCGCCUCUGAAGCCGGCGGGCGCCACGUCUCAGAGGGCGGGCAGAGGCAGCUCGGGCCCAGGUGGAGAACAUCCUCGUCGAACGCCGGACCGCACCUCUGGGUGUGCUGGAGUUUGUGCCACCUAGAGCUCCCCCGCCUCUCGCCCGCGUUCUUCCUGCGGCGGCCCUGCACCCGUCUCUUUUCUCUUCCAGACUGGAACCCGCUCCUGAGACCGCACCCCCGGGACCGGAGCGCGCCCCGCAUCGUGCAAACAUUCCACUCAACAAAUAUUUGUGGGUUGUUCAGAAAUUGUUUCCUGCUCUGACCUGUGAAAGAACUAUCGAAGUAAAAAAUUUAAAACUUGUUAGGGCUUGGGUGGGCGAGGGCCAGCUUUAUUUUACGUACAAUAAAGUUGACCAAGUUUAAGUAAUUUUAUGACAAAUGUUUACAAAACAAAAGAUUCCCUGUGACCCAUUGCUGUCCGUUUCCUUCCCUUUUUCCUGGAAACCAUUGAUCUGUCACAGGUUCCUCUAUUCUAGAAUUUCACAUAAAUUGGACCGUAGAAUUAUGUCAUCUUUUGUGUCUGGUUUAUGAAAUACUUUCUAAUAGUCAUCCAGUGAAAAAUAUAAAAAUGGCUACGUUGGGCCGGGGAUUUAGCUCAGUGGUUCUGCCACCUGCCUCGCAAGUGCCAGGUCGAACUCAAUCCCCAGUACCAAAAAAAUAAAUAAAUAAAAUAAAAAUGGCUGCGUUGUUUUGAUCGAGUAUUUACCGUAUGCCAGGACUAGGAGAGCCCUUACAUAUAUUAUUUACUCUUCAUAACCCCGUGAAGUACGGUCCUUUCGUCUUACGGAUGAGUAAACUGAAACAGUAUUGAGCAACUUUCCUGAGGUCACAUGGCUAUAAAGUGAGCAAUUUCCAGCAGUCGGAGCAGUCUGAGGAGGGCCUGACUGACAGCCAAGGCUUAGUACCUCCCCACCCUCCACCUUUCUCCCCGGGGAUUUUGGAAAACAGCUUCCUGCACAUUUUCAAUGAGUCACCUUUGCAGCCUUGAUUUCUGCAACAGAACAAAAACUGUAAUGGUUGUGAACCUUUUUCACCAAGCUGAUCCAGAAAGCCAAGCCCAUCAGAAACAAAAGGUUAUAGAAAACAGAAUUAGCAGCAUUUAGUACGUCAGCAAAAGGAGUGUCAGGUCCCAAAGACAUCUUUUGCAAUUUCUUCCCAAUAUCUGCAGCUGACCAGAUACCUGUGUGGAUGGAGGCUUGCCACUCAUUUCCCAGUGCAUAGACCAUUAUAGCUGUCACAGAACCCAUUGGCCCAAGAUCCAGACUUAAUUGACAAUCUGUACAGGAAGAACUACUCUCAGAACAGUAUUGCAUGUCACAGGUAAGCUAUUCACAGUAUGCUGUCUUUUCACCAAAAAUAGCUUUACUCUUGAAAGUAGUAGAAGAGACAACAGAGAAAGAAAACCCUAAGAAUAGAAGCUGGUACAGAAUGCCAAGCAAACCUAGGGGAAAACAAGAUUCACAAACACACAGUCCUGAAACAUCACAUUGCCUAUAAGGCCAUCUUACCUGAGCCAAAAACUCUCCCAUAUUUCAGAAGAAUUUUAAGCCUAUGGGCUGCUGCAGCAUAGCAUAAAGAGAAGAAAAAGGCUCAUGAUCUUACUCCAAGGAUGAGGCAAUGGGGAGAGCUCAUCUUUCUACUUGAUGAAUCAACAAUCCAGUAGACAAGUCUACCAUUGUUCACAAGGCAAUAAUACCUGUUUUUGUACAAUAUAUUUUUUACAAAGAUGUGCACAAGGAUAUGUUAUAUGCACUUUUGUUGCCAAUCAACAACAGCACAAUAACCGAACUACUCCAAGAGAACUGAAUGGACCUAUUUUUUUUUUAGACAAGAUAUUGCUAUGUAGUUCAGGCUAGCCUUGAACUUACUAUGUAGUUCCAGGCUGGCCUUGAACUCGUAAUGAUGCUUCUGCUUCAGACUCCUAAGGGCUGGGAUUACAGGUGUGCACCAUGACACCAGGCCUGUAUUGGUCAUUUUAUGUCUAUAAGUUAAUGGUCUCAACUCUCCAAUUAAAAGAUACAGACUGACUGCUCCCAGGGCAGAGGAGGUGAGCCAAUCCCAGUGCCCAGGAGGAGGCUCCCCAGCCACCAUUCCACCACUCCCAGGGCAGAGGAGGUGAGCUGCAUGGGCGCCACUAGCACCCACCCCUUUACCCCUGUGUAAAUGAGAAGACACGUAAACAAGCCUCAAAAACAGACUUCCAGAUCACCUAUACAACCCCAAAGGGAA
Molecule: non-coding RNA, 2390 nt
Organism: Heterocephalus glaber (naked mole-rat)
Lineage: Eukaryota; Metazoa; Chordata; Mammalia; Rodentia; Bathyergidae
Source: RefSeq, a predicted model, not a curated record